GCCAGGCAUAUUAAAGGGCAUGACUCCCUGCAUGUAAAAUGAGGAAGCUAAACUGGAAUGAAAUUACCAAUAAAAUUAUCUUUUUUUAUGGUUCUUAGGGAGAUAACUAUAGGCUUAGCAAAAUUUCAAAGGGUUUUGUAAUUGAAAGUGGUUUCAACCUCAGAAAAACAGCCAUUUCCCAUAACUACAGGUUCCCAGUAUUCCUAUGAUUUCUGGACAAUUAAAAUUUCCAGUACUUUUUUCAUAUACCUGGUGCUUAGUUUUAAGCUAUUUUAAAACUGUCAGAUUGAGAAUUUCAAUAGAUGUCAUAAACAAGUUUUAUUAGCUACUAUGUUUAAAUCAAUAUAAUACUAAGUGCUGUUAAUAUACUAUAAUAGAGUUAUAGUAGCUAUUUUGUUUCUAUAAAAAAUUAAUAAAAAUAUCUUUAUUGAUAUUUGGCUUUUUUUAAUACCUAACUUAAUAGAAGGAGUGUUUCCAAUUAAUUUAACAAAGCCAGAUUUUGAAAUCUGGCUUCAAAGUCAUAUAGUAAAUCUUACUACAUAAUUAAAAUAAUGCUUGUUCUUAAUGUAUAAUCCAGAACAAAAGCAUCAAGCUGCUUUUGUUAAACAAAUAUGAAAUAUACAUAAGAGUAGAUUUUUUUGUUUAAUUUCACAAAACUAUUUUGCAAAGUUCACUUGUAUCAUCUCUAUCCUUAUAGUAAAAAUUUUAAGAUUUAACUCGGCUUUCUCAGGUUAUUUCCCUCUACCCCUAUGAACUGCUGAGUUUUAGUUUCUUUUCUGGCCUUCAGUUUUCACUAUCUGUAAAGCUGAAGGACUGUAUUAUACUACCUCCAAUAUCUUUUCUGGUACUAAUUUUUAAAAUACCUGAUCAGAAUGAAGCCAUCAUAGUGUAAGGCAGCAUAUUUGUCUAUAAGGAGACUUUCCAAAGACAGUACCCAUCCAAUGCAAAUAAUAAAUUUGAAGCUAAUCUGUUGUGCUUUAAAAUGAGCAAAUUCACAUGUCUUUAUUGCCCUUUGAAAGUUGGUUAAUCUCAAAAACUACCUUUUUUUAAAUAUCCUCUGCAAGGUCAAUUGUAACAGUUCUCCAUCCUUCCUCUUCCCUUUGAAAUAAACACAAAUAGAAUAUAUCUUACAGCUGCAAGAAAACCUGAGUCCUUUCCAAAACAAAGGUGACUGAAGUAAAUUAUCUCUAAAACUUAUUCCAUAGACUUCAUUUAUUAAUAAGCAUAUUGUGAAAAUCUACAUUUGUUUUAGAUUUCAUGUUUACAGAGCUUUUCACAAUUGUAUUAGGAUCUUUCACAACUACUCUCUGGGUUUUAUGAACAGUAAAGUAAAGAAUCU
Molecule: long non-coding RNA, 1339 nt
Filed under: Pongo abelii (Sumatran orangutan)
Lineage: Eukaryota; Metazoa; Chordata; Mammalia; Primates; Hominidae
Description: lncRNA (ENSPPYG00000034900.1)
Source: RNAcentral